This 499-nucleotide small RNA is filed under the name uncultured Glomus. RNAcentral describes it as "SSU rRNA". It matches the Rfam family "Eukaryotic small subunit ribosomal RNA", at positions 591 to 1092 of the family's 1831-position model. RNAcentral also lists the same sequence under 1 other name. The record is from RNAcentral. Lineage: Eukaryota; Fungi; Glomeromycota; Glomeromycetes; Glomerales; Glomeraceae.
CCAAUAGCGUAUAUUAAAGUUGUUGCAGUUAAAAAGCUCGUAGUUGAAUUUCGGGAUCAAGGGAUCGGUCAUGCCUUGGUAUGUACUGGUCUUAUUGGUUCUCACCUUCUAAAGAACCAUGAUGUCAUUCAUUUGAUGUUAUGGGGAAUUAGGACUGUUACCUUGAAAAAAUUAGAGUGUUUAAAGCAAGCUUACGCUUGAAUACAUUAGCAUGGAAUAAUGAAAUAGGACAUCAGAUUCUAUUUUGUUGGUUUCUAGGAUCGAUGUAAUGAUUAAUAGGGAUAGUUGGGGGCAUUAGUAUUCAAUUGUCAGAGGUGAAAUUCUUGGAUUUAUUGAAGACUAACUACUGCGAAAGCAUUUGCCAAGGAUGUUUUCAUUAAUCAAGAACGAAAGUUAGGGGAUCGAAGACGAUCAGAUACCGUCGUAGUCUUAACCAUAAACUAUGCCGACUAGGGAUCGGAUGAUGUUAAUUUUUUAAUGACUCAUUCGGCACCUUACG